This 382-nucleotide ribosomal RNA is filed under the name uncultured Streptococcus sp. RNAcentral's name for it is "bacterial SSU rRNA". It matches the Rfam family "Bacterial small subunit ribosomal RNA", at positions 999 to 1382 of the family's 1533-position model. Lineage: Bacteria; Bacillati; Bacillota; Bacilli; Lactobacillales; Streptococcaceae. The record is from RNAcentral.
AUUCUAGAGAUGAAAGUUACUUCGGUACAUCGGUGACAGGUGGUGCAUGGUUGUCGUCAGCUCGUGUCGUGAGAUGUUGGGUUAAGUCCCGCAACGAGCGCAACCCCUAUUGUUAGUUGCCAUCAUUCAGUUGGGCACUCUAGCGAGACUGCCGGUAAUAAACCGGAGGAAGGUGGGGAUGACGUCAAAUCAUCAUGCCCCUUAUGACCUGGGCUACACACGUGCUACAAUGGUUGGUACAACGAGUUGCGAGUCGGUGACGGCGAGCUAAUCUCUUAAAGCCAAUCUCAGUUCGGAUUGUAGGCUGCAACUCGCCUACAUGAAGUCGGAAUCGCUAGUAAUCGCGGAUCAGCACGCCGCGGUGAAUACGUUCCCGGGCCUU